Molecule: small RNA, 1264 nt
Filed under: Pan troglodytes (chimpanzee)
Lineage: Eukaryota; Metazoa; Chordata; Mammalia; Primates; Hominidae
Description: retained intron
Source: RNAcentral
GUGUGUGGGAGGGGCCAUGGGAGGGCGGCCAGGGGCAGAAGGACUUGCAAGGCAGUGCUUCUUGCUCCCCAGGGCCCUCUGGCAUCCCCCCUGGGGUCCCUCUGGCCCAGUCCCCUUUCCCUUUGCCAGUCGCAGCUGAAAUGUCCUUCUCCUGCUGUCCUCUCACCCGUCCCAGGCCCCAGAAGUUUCUCAUCUUCCUGCACUCAUUGCCUUUUCAUUCGCACUUCCCUCUCCAUGGUGAGAGGAGGCGGUUUAACCUCUCUGAGCCUCAGUUUCCUUAUCCACGCGAGAUGGUUGGAUUGGGUGAUCCUGAAGGUCUGCAGGUCCUCUAGGACUUUAAGUGAUUGUCAUUCCUAUUUAGAUGUUUCCCACGGGGGUCCUUGGAAACCUCCCAGACACUGACUGAGCCUCUGCCAGGGGCUGGGGACUAAAGCCAGUGAAUAGUGGUGGAGAUCAGGGCACCCACAUCAGUGUGAAGAGGAGGUGGUGCCCUGCUGACCCUGCUGCUGUCUGCUUUUCCCUCAGUUUGACCCUGGGAACACAGGCUACAUUAGCACAGGCAAGUUCCGGAGUCUUCUGGAGAGCCACAGCUCCAAGCUGGACCCGCACAAAAGGGAGGUCCUCCUGGCUCUUGCCGACAGCCACGCGGAUGGGCAGAUCGGCUACCAGGAUUUUGUCAGCCUAAUGAGCAACAAGCGUUCCAACAGCUUCCGCCAAGCCAUCCUGCAGGGCAACCGCAGGCUAAGCAGCAAGGCCCUGCUGGAGGAGAAGGGGCUGAGCCUCUCGCAGCGACUUAUCCGCCAUGUGGCCUAUGAGACCCUGCCCCGGGAAAUUGACCGCAAGUGGUACUAUGACAGCUACACCUGCUGCCCCCCACCCUGGUUCAUGAUCACAGUCACGCUGCUGGAGGUAACUCAUCCACGUUACUUGAAGAACUCCCUGGUUUACCACCCACAGCUGCGAGCACAGGUUUGGCGGUACCUGACAUACAUCUUCAUGCAUGCAGGGAUAGAACACCUGGGACUCAAUGUGGUGCUGCAGCUGCUGGUGGGGGUGCCCCUGGAGAUGGUGCAUGGAGCCACCCGAAUUGGGCUUGUCUACGUGGCCGGUGUUGUGGCAGGGUCCUUGGCAGUGUCUGUGGCUGACAUGACCGCUCCAGUCGUGGGCUCUUCUGGAGGGGUGUAUGCUCUCGUCUCUGCCCAUCUGGCCAACAUUGUCAUGAACUGGUCAGGCAUGAAGUGCCAGUUCAAGCUGCUGCGGAUGG